This 253-nucleotide ribosomal RNA is filed under the name uncultured bacterium. Its description in RNAcentral is "partial 16S ribosomal RNA". It matches the Rfam family "Bacterial small subunit ribosomal RNA", at positions 524 to 776 of the family's 1533-position model. The record is from RNAcentral.
UACGUAGGGGGCUAGCGUUGUCCGGAAUCAUUGGGCGUAAAGCGCGUGUAGGCGGUCCGGUAAGUCCGCUGUGAAAGUCGGGGGCUCAACCCUCGAAUGCCGGUGGAUACUGUCGGGCUUGAGUACUGAAGAGGCGAGUGGAAUUCCUGGUGUAGCGGUGAAAUGCGCAGAUAUCAGGAGGAACACCGGUGGCGAAGGCGGGUCGCUGGGCAACAACUGACGCUGAGGAGCGAAAGCGUGGGGAGCGAACAGG